This 4058-nucleotide long non-coding RNA is filed under the name Sus scrofa (pig). RNAcentral describes it as "lncRNA (ENSSSCG00060038136.1)". Lineage: Eukaryota; Metazoa; Chordata; Mammalia; Artiodactyla; Suidae. The record is from RNAcentral.
UUUUUUUUUUUUUGGCCAUGCCCAUGGCAUGCAGAAGCUCCGGGUCCAGAGAUCCAACCCAGCCACAGCAGUCACAACACGGGACCCUCAACCUGCUGCACCAAUGGGGAACUCCCACAGAGGUAUCUUGGGUCUCCAGGAACGAGGGUCAAUUCAGAGCCAGAAAAGUCUGAUUAUUGCCAUUGCCCUAACUCGCAGUCACCCUGGCAAACAGCUGGAAGUCCCUUUGGGGAAGGGUGGGACAAAGGAGCAGAGGAUAACUUUUUGACGGUAUAGCGGGGUCCCUCCAAGACUCCUUACUUGUUUUAAGUUUUCCUGUUUCCCUGAUCCCCACUCCCAUUCACCGGCCUCAAAUACGCCCGACUCUUAUAAAUUUCCUUUUAGGGAUUUCUUGCAUGUAUUUUAAUUUUAUUUGUUUGGUUGUUUGUUUAUGGCUGCACUCGAGGCAUGUCCAUAAAUAAAUACACAAAUUCCUCCUUUUAAAAAAUGAGAAUGGAAGUUCCUGUUUCGGCUCAGUGGAAACGGACUGGUAUCCAUGAGGACACGCGUUCAGUCCUUGGCCUCGCUCAGUGGGUUAAGGAUCCGACGCUGCCAUGAGCUGUGGUGUAGGUCGCAGACGCAUUGCUGUGGCUGUGGCGUAAGCCGUAAGCUCCGAUUCGACCCCUAGCCUGGGAACCUCUAUAUGCCGUGAAUGCAGCCCUCCUCCAAAAAAAAAGACAAGAAAAAAAAUGAGAAUGGACUGGGAGUUUGAGGUUAGUAAAUGCAAAUGAUUCCAUUUAGAAUGGAUAAGUAGUGAGGUCCUACUGUAGAGCACAGGGAACUCUACCCAAUCUCUUGGGAUAGAACAUGAUGGAAGGUAGGAUAAGAAAGGGAAUGUGUGUAUAUAUAUAUGUAUACACAUAUAUAUGUGUGGAUAUAUGUAUGUGUGUGUGUGUGUAUAUAUAUAUAUAUAUGACUGGGUCUCUACCCUGUAUAGCAGAAAUUGGCACAACAUUGUAAAUAGACUAUAAUUAAAAAACAACAACAACAACGCAAAACUUCUCUUUACUGCUUUGUGAUCUACCUGUCCUCAUGGCUGUAUGGAUGUUUUUUGCUGUUUCUUGCUGCUGCUCCAACUUUCCUAGCAGGGAUCUGCCUCUAGCAAUGCUGCAAUGAACAUCCUGCCUGGGAACUUCCAUUUGCCGCAGGUGCAGCCCUAAAAAAAAGGCAAAAACAAAUCUGUCUUCCUUGCUGGCUUCUAAGUCCGUGAAGGCGGCAGGCCCACCUAGAAGGUUCAUCUGUGUCCUUAGCAGCCUGCUCAGUCCUUGCUACACACAAGGCACUUCCCUUUAUACCUUCGAAUAGCUGAAUGAGCCAUUCCCACGUGCAGCCCUCUUGAGCUCAAGCUUGAUUCCUGGGGAGGGCAAAGGGGACCAUGAGUGAGCCAAACAGGAAGAGCUGUUUUCUAAAGUCUCAGAAGUCACUGGCCAAGAGGAAAUUCCCUAGGGGCUCCCAGACACAGCUGCUGGAAUGCAAAGGAGUGAAGGUUCCCACAGAGCCAGAGAAAAGCCAGGGGGUGCAGAGGCUGGCGUCUGCGUUUAUCUAGAAAACAUGGAUUCUGCUGAGGUCCCAGAAGCUGCCAGGCAGAAGCCCCACAGACAGACUUGAAUGUCAAAGGAAAACAGAACGUUUGCUGCUGGGGUUGGACCACGUGGACUUUUCUGGUGUGUUCGUCUUCUUCUUUUUUAAAAUUUGGGAUAAGGAGUUCCCGUCGUGGCGCGGUGGUUAACAAAUCCGACUAGGAACCAUGAGGUUGCAGGUUCGAUCCCUGCCCUUGCUCAGUGGGUUAACGAUCCGGCGUUGCCGUGAGCUGUGGUGUAGGUUGCAGAUGCGGCUCGGAUCCCGAGUUGCUGUGGCUCUGGCGUAGGCUGGUGGCUACAGCUCCGAUUAGACCCCUAGCCUGGGAACCUCCAUAUGCCGCGGGAGCAGCCCAAGAAAUGGAAAAAAAAAAAAAAAAAAGAAAAAUUUGGGAUAAGAAGCCACAUGCCUCUGAACUAUUCAGACCAAAAGCCUCCCGGGGGGCCCUGCCCAGAACCACUGAUUGUCCUGCCCAGGGUCUGGGAGAUGCUUUUCAACUGGAAGUUUCCGUUUCCUCAUCUGUGAAGUGGGUACAAUAACGGGGCCUACCUCACUGCCCGGGUUGCAGUGAGCACACAGUGAACAGCGACUGGAUUUCGAAGACUUCUCUGAGGCUCAGGCUGGGCACAUAUGAGGGCCGGGAGCAUGGCAGCAGGCAGGCUGCCUGGCCUCCCCAUGGCCUCACUUUUCUGGCUCCCAUAGGACCCUCUUGUGACUUAGGUAUCUACAUGGCCUCACUCCCGUAGGAACACCGAGGACAGAGUGACAAACCCGACUCCCCGCCCUCCCUCAAGGGGCCUGAAGACACCUGGAGCAAAGCGAUGAGACUGCGGUGAGGGAAAACCUGAAGGUGUAAGGGAGCCGAGGAGGCCCCCACCCCAAGCAUCCGCCCUUCUCUGCCCCUUCCAGCUUCUUCUUGGAGCCUCACUUUUCUCAUCUGCAAAAUGGGACUCAAAGGGUUGCUUUCAGAUUCAAAUGAAAAAAACAAAUGGAGUUCCCUGGUGGCCUAGUGGUUAGGAUUUGGUGCUUUUACUGCUGUGGCCUGAGUUCAAUCCCUGGUCUGAGAACUGAGAUCCCACAUCAAGCGGCUGCAGACUAUGCCAAAAAAAACCAAAAAGAAGAUUAAAAAAAAGAAAAGAAAAUGGACUGGUGGAAAAGAGCUUUCCAGACUGCCAACUGCAUCUAAACAGACGACCAGGGCUACAGUAGGAAGGUCCAGACCUACUUACAGAGUGAUGCUUAUGGUUUGAGAGCCGUUUCUCCAGGGCGGUUUAAAAUCCCAUGGCUUGGAGUUCCCUUAUGGUAUAGUGGGUUAAGGAUCCAGCUCUGUCACUGUAGUUGCUUUUGGGUCACUGCUUGGCUCAGGUUUGAUCCCGGGCUGGGGAACCAUUCACAUGCUGUGGAUGUGGCCAAAAUCAAAUUAAAAAUUGAAGGUUUAAAAAUAACAGGAGGAGUUCCCAUCAUGGCCCAGCAGAAACGAAUCUGACUAGCAACCAUGAGGUCGCCGGUUCAAUCCUUGGCCUCAAUCAGUGAGUUAAGGAUCUGGCAUGGCCAUGAGCUGUGGUGUAGGUCACAGACUCGGCUCAGAUCUAGUGCUGCUGUGGCUGUGGGGUAGGCCAGCAGCUCAGCUCUGAUUCGACCCCUAGCCUGGGAACCUCCAUAUGCCAUGGAUGUGGACCAAAUAAAUAAAUACAUAAAUAAAAUAUAAACUCGUAUGGCUUAAAGAAGCUUUCUAGGAAAGAAAUGAUGCUCUCUGUGGAUCCUUUGAGCACGGUAAGUGAUGCGGGCAGUUGGAAGGGAGGGAUGGGGCUCCCAUUUGGUUGCUCAUCUUGUUUUCUAAACUGCAAGGACCUGUGCGAGUGAUGGGAGGGGCAGGAGCGGAAGCUGGUGGGACACAAGCACUACCUUCCCUUCUCCUAAUAUCCAGAGGCAAGGAGCUGCGGGGAUGGGGCCCAAAGCUCACGGGGUCAGCAAAGGGAUGGACAGCCUAGGCUGCCUGUAACAGCACGGAAUAAUACAGAGAGGUAUAUCCUGCUCGUGGAACCGUUCUGGGAGGUGGUCCAGGGCUGGCACAGCAGCGCACCAGUGCUGGGCACCCAGGCUCCUUCUCCUUUGUUGCUCAGCCAUCACUCGGGGCUUGCUCUUAUUCUCAUGCCCUCAGCCUCACCAUCAUUCCAGGCAAAGAGAAGAGAGGCAGAGGGAAAGGACCGUCACAUUCUUUUCCUAUUAAGGACAUGUGGAGCCAGACUCUGAGACUGUGGCCAUGACCCCUGCUCCUGGUAUCCCUUCCUGUAUCUCAUCCCCUCCCACACUGAACAGGAACGACCCAUGUCACCAACAGGAUAUUUUUGGAAACAUGGACUGCGACCUUGAAGGCGAGCUUGUAAAAGAGAUCACAGCCUCCCCCUUUCUCUCUGCUGGAUCACUCAGCUGCCAUGUCC